GACGAACGCUGGCGGCGUGCUUAACACAUGCAAGUCGAACGGAAAGGCCCUGCUUUUGUGGGGUUCUCGAGUGGCGAACGGGUGAGUAACACGUGAGUAACCUGCCCUUUACUUUGGGAUAACUUCAGGAAACUGGGGCUAAUACCGGAUAGGAGCUCCUGCUGCAUGGUGGGGGUUGGAAAGUUUCGGCGGUUGGGGAUGGACUCGCGGCUUAUCAGCUUGUUGGUGGGGUAGUGGCUUACCAAGGCUUUGACGGGUAGCCGGCAUGAGAGGGUGAACGGCCACAAUGGGACGGAGAUACGGACCAGAGUCCAACGGGAGGCAGCAGGGGGGAAUAUUGCAAAAUGGGAGGAAGCCUGAUGAAGAAACGCCGCGUGCGGGAUGACGGCCUUCGGGUUGUAAACCGCUUUCGCCUGUGACGAAGCGUGAGUGACGGUAAUGGGUAAAGAAGCACCGGCUAACUACGUG
This 468-nucleotide ribosomal RNA is filed under the name uncultured bacterium. Its description in RNAcentral is "partial 16S ribosomal RNA". It matches the Rfam family "Bacterial small subunit ribosomal RNA", at positions 28 to 507 of the family's 1533-position model. The record is from RNAcentral.